Molecule: transfer RNA, 73 nt
Filed under: Stegodyphus mimosarum
Lineage: Eukaryota; Metazoa; Arthropoda; Arachnida; Araneae; Eresidae
Rfam family: tRNA
About the family: Transfer RNA (tRNA) molecules are approximately 80 nucleotides in length.
Source: Rfam by way of RNAcentral
GCCUUCAUGGUGUAGUGGUAAGCACGCUCGACGUGUAACCGAGAGACCCGUGGUUUGAUUCCCGGCGAAGGCG